This 1102-nucleotide long non-coding RNA is filed under the name Zea mays. RNAcentral describes it as "long non-coding RNA NONZMAT003586". The record is from RNAcentral. Lineage: Eukaryota; Viridiplantae; Streptophyta; Magnoliopsida; Poales; Poaceae.
GGCUCCUGCAUGAGUCUAGAGAAAGAAUAACCAAGGAAAGCCUUACCCCUGCAGUUUGCAGAAAGGCUACAUCGAACCCAAGACGGUCUUCGCUCAAUGAGAAGGCUUGUCACCACUGUGCCAGACCUAUCCUUCAAAGGAAAGCCUUACCCCUGCAUUUUGCAGAAAGGCUACAUCGAACCCAGGACGGUCUUCGCUCAAUGAGAAGGCUUGUCACCACUGUGCCAGACCUAUCCUUCAUCGAGCGAGCAAAGUAAAAAAAGAUAGUGGAAUAUAUGAUUUCUAAGAAGAAAACAAAGAUGUCUUUAUCCAAUGAUAGAGCAGGAAAUGGGUUUGUCAUGCAUUUCUGAGUGAAGCGUUAGAAUACCCAUGACCUCAAGUACUUAGUUGGGAGACAUUAGAAUACCAUGAACUCAUAUGCUCGUUUGGGCAAGGUAUCCCAAAUUAGCACUACAGGGGAUGGUGAGCAUUAGAUUGGCGAGGUAGCAACACUACCUCUAUUAAUGUUGCAUGUUCUGCAUUAUGUUUAUGCACUCACGGGACAUGAAACUGGCAAAAAAAUGUAGCAAUUUUUCAGAAUAACUUUCUUGCUGCAUUUCUUGGCAUCUAGCAUGCAACAAUCUAUUUAAAGUACAUCACAAUUGAAGCAUGGUAUGAAGCAUGAACAGCACGGCAGUGGCAAAUGGUAGAUCUAAAAUCGUAGGCAGCUUCAAUAAUGCAGCAUAAAUGUACAUAUCAUCCAACUAAACUAAAAAAUGAGGACACUGUUUAGAAUGCCAAGUGCUUGAAUAAUUUUACAUUGAUGAGCUAACACUUUUGUUGUAGGCAUUGCCAUAGAAUAUUUUGAUCUAUAUAAAGGAAAUGUGGUGAGAACAAAUUCCAUUGAAUAUAACAAUAUAAAAAUGGAAAAUCACAUAUAGAAAAUGAGUCUAUAUAUUUUUUCUCCAUAGACAUGUUACCUUUAAAAAUGGGUAUCACCUGUAUCUGCUCUCGUAUAUAACCCUAUGCAUCAGAAAUCCUCACGUUUAUUAAUCUUGGCAGCAACAUACUGAAAUCUAUAUCCAUGAAACGUGGUGAGAAUAAAUUCUAUAAAGGUAAUAAU